RNAcentral lists this ribosomal RNA (468 nucleotides) under uncultured bacterium. RNAcentral's name for it is "partial 16S ribosomal RNA". It matches the Rfam family "Bacterial small subunit ribosomal RNA", at positions 28 to 507 of the family's 1533-position model. The record is from RNAcentral.
GACGAACGCUGGCGGCGUGCUUAACACAUGCAAGUCGAACGGAAAGGCCCUGCUUUUGUGGGGUGCUCGAGUGGCGAACGGGUGAGUAACACGUGAGUAACCUGCCCUUGACUUUGGGAUAACUUCAGGAAACUGGGGCUAAUACCGGAUAGGAGCUCCUGCUGCAUGGUGGGGGUUGGAAAGUUUCGGCGGUUGGGGAUGGACUCGCGGCUUAUCAGCUUGUUGGUGGGGUAGUGGCUUACCAAGGCUUUGACGGGUAGCCGGCCUGAGAGGGUGACCGGCGACAUUGGGACUGAGAUACGGACCAGACUCCUACGGGAGGCAGCAGUGGGGAAUAUUGCACAAUGGGAGGAAGCCUGAUGCAGCAACGCCGCGUGCGGGAUGACGGCCUUCGGGUUGUAAACCGCUUUCGCCUGUGACGAAGCGUGAGUGACGGUAAUGGGUAAAGAAGCACCGGCUAACUACGUG